RNAcentral lists this ribosomal RNA (1351 nucleotides) under metagenome. RNAcentral's name for it is "bacterial LSU rRNA". It matches the Rfam family "Bacterial large subunit ribosomal RNA", at positions 1564 to 2925 of the family's 2925-position model. The record is from RNAcentral.
UGAGUGCGAGCUGCUACGGCAGCGAAGUGGGUGAUGUCAAGCUUCCAAGAAAAGCCCUAGACCCGUUAAGGCAUGAUUGCCUGUACCCGAAACCGACACAGGUGGGGUGGUAGAGAAUACCGAGGGGCGCGAGGUAACUCUCUCUAAGGAACUCGGCAAAAUGGCCCCGUAACUUCGGGAGAAGGGGUGCCAGCGAGAGCUGGUCGCAGUGAAGAGGCCCAGGCGACUGUUUACCAAAAACACAGGUCUCCGCUAAGUCGCAAGACGAUGUAUGGGGGCUGACGCCUGCCCAGUGCCGGAAGGUUAAGGAAGCUGGUCAGCGCAAGCGAAGCUGGCGACUGAAGCCCCGGUGAACGGCGGCCGUAACGAUAACGGUCCUAAGGUAGCGAAAUUCCUUGUCGGGUAAGUUCCGACCCGCACGAAAGGCGUAACGAUCUGGGCGCUGUCUCGGAGAGAGGCUCGGCGAAAUAGAAUUGUCUGUGAAGAUGCGGACUACGUGCACCCGGACAGAAAGACCCUAUGAAGCUUUACUGUAGCUUGGUAUUGUGCUCGGGCUCGGAAUGCGCAGGAUAGGUGGGAGGCAUUGAUCCAUUGCUUGCGGGUGAUGGUGAGCCACUGGUGAGAUACCACUCUUUUCGAGCUUAAGUUCUAACGGCCACCCGUUAUCCGGGGGCCGGACAGUAUCAGGUGGGCAGUUUGACUGGGGCGGUCGCCUCCUAAAAGGUAACGGAGGCGCGCAAAGGUCUGCUCAGGCUGGUUGGAAAUCAGCCGACGAGUGUAAAAGCAGAAGCAGGCUUGACUGUGAGACCUACAAGUCGAACAGGGAGGAAACUCGGCUUUAGUGAUCCGACGGUUCUGCGUGGAAGGGCCGUCGCUCAACGGAUAAAAGUUACUCUAGGAUAACAGGCUGAUCUCCCCCAAGAGUUCACAUCGACGGGGAGGUUUGGCACCUCGAUGUCGGCUCAUCGCAACCUGGGGCUGAAGUCGGUCCCAAGGGUUGGGCUGUUCGCCCAUUAAAGCGGUACGCGAGCUGGGUUCAGAACGUCGUGAGACAGUUCGGUCCAUAUCCGGUGCACGCGCAGGAAUAUUGAGAGGAUUUCUCCCUAGUACGAGAGGACCGGGAGGAACGCACCUCUGGUGUGCCAGUUAUCGUGCCAACGGUAAACGCUGGGUAGCCAUGUGCGGAGAGGAUAACCGCUGAAAGCAUCUAAGUGGGAAGCCCACCUCAAGAUGAGUAUUCCCAUGGCUUAAGCCAGUAAGGUCACGGGAAGAACACCCGUUGAUAGGCUCUAUGUGGAAGCGCAGUAAUGCGUGAAGCAGAGGAGUACUAAUAGACCGAGGGCUUGACCAU